CCUACGGGGGGCAGCAGUAGGGAAUAUUGCUCAAUGGGGGAAACCCUGAAGCAGCAACGCCGCGUGGGGGAUGAAGGUUUUCGGAUUGUAAACCCCUUUUGUUAGAGAAGAUAAUGACGGUAUCUAACGAAUAAGCACCGGCUAACUCCGUGCCAGCAGCCGCGGUAAUACGGAGGGUGCAAGCGUUACUCGGAAUCACUGGGCGUAAAGGGCGCGUAGGCGGGUUAGCAAGUCAGAUGUGAAAUCCUAUGGCUUAACCAUAGAACUGCAUUUGAAACUGUUAUUCUAGAGUAUGGGAGAGGUAGGUGGAAUUCUUGGUGUAGGGGUAAAAUCCGUAGAGAUCAAGAGGAAUACUCAUUGCGAAGGCGACCUGCUAGACCAUAACUGACGCUGAUGCGCGAAAGCGUGGGGAGCAAACAGGAUUAGAUACCCGAGUAGUC
RNAcentral lists this ribosomal RNA (440 nucleotides) under uncultured bacterium. RNAcentral describes it as "partial 16S ribosomal RNA". It matches the Rfam family "Bacterial small subunit ribosomal RNA", at positions 338 to 795 of the family's 1533-position model. The record is from RNAcentral.